CCUACGGGAGGCAGCAGUGGGGGAUAUUGCACAAUGGGGGGAACCCUGAUGCAGCGACGCCGCGUGGGUGAAGAAGCGCCUCGGCGCGUAAAGCCCUGUCAGCAGGGAAGAAAAUGACGGUACCUGAAGAAGAAGCCCCGGCUAACUACGUGCCAGCAGCCGCGGUAAUACGUAGGGGGCAAGCGUUAUCCGGAUUUACUGGGUGGAAAGGGGGCGCAGACGGCGAUGCAAGCCAGGAGUGAAAGCCCGGGGCCCAACCCCGGGACUGCUCUUGGAACUGCGUGGCUGGAGUGCAGGAGGGGCAGGCGGAAUUCCUGGUGUAGCGGUGAAAUGCGUAGAUAUCAGGAGGAACACCGGGGGCGAAGGCGGCCUGCUGGACUGCAACUGACGUUGAGGCCCGAAAGCGUGGGGAGCAAACAGGAUUAGAUACCCCAGUAGUC
This 440-nucleotide ribosomal RNA is filed under the name uncultured bacterium. Its description in RNAcentral is "partial 16S ribosomal RNA". It matches the Rfam family "Bacterial small subunit ribosomal RNA", at positions 338 to 795 of the family's 1533-position model. The record is from RNAcentral.